This 882-nucleotide ribosomal RNA is filed under the name Acutuncus antarcticus. Its description in RNAcentral is "SSU rRNA". It matches the Rfam family "Eukaryotic small subunit ribosomal RNA", at positions 56 to 940 of the family's 1831-position model. The record is from RNAcentral. Lineage: Eukaryota; Metazoa; Tardigrada; Eutardigrada; Parachela; Hypsibiidae.
UGUCUCAGUACUUGCUUUUACAAGGCGAAACCGCGAAUGGCUCAUUAAAUCAGUUAUGGUUCACUAGAUCGUACAGUUUACAUGGAUAACUGUGGUAAUUCUAGAGCUAAUACAUGCACCCAGUCCGUUCCCUCGUGGAGCGGAUGCAGUUAUUUGCCCAAAACCAAUCCGGCCUUCGGGUCGGUCAAUUGGUGACUCUGAAUAACCGAAGCGGAGCGCAUGGUCUCGUACCGGCGCCAGAUCUUUCAAGUGUCUGACUUAUCAGCUUGUUGUUAGGUUAUGUUCCUAACAAGGCAUCAACGGGUAACGGAGUGUCAGGGCCCGACACCGGAGAGGGAGCCUGAGAAACGGCUACCACAUCCAAGGAAGGCAGCAGGCGCGCAAAUUACCCACUCCCGGCACGGGGAGGUAGUGACGAAAAAUAACGAUGCGAGAGCUUUAUGCUCCUCGUAAUCGGAAUGGGUACACUUUAAAUCCUUUAACGAGGAUCUAUUGGAGGGCAAGUCUGGUGCCAGCAGCCGCGGUAAUUCCAGCUCCAAUAGCGUAUAUUAAAGUUGCUGCGGUUAAAAAGCUCGUAGUUGGAUCUGGGUAGUCGAUGGACGGUGCGCUUUACGGCGUCUACUGUUCGUUCGGCACCACAUGCCGGCCAUGUCUUGCAUGCUCUUCACUGAGUGUGCUUGGCGACCGGAACGUUUACUUUGAAAAAAUUAGAGUGCUCAAAGCAGGCGUUAAGCCUUGCAUAAUGGUGCAUGGAAUAAUAGAAUAGGACCUCGGUUCUAUUUUGUUGGUUUUCGGAGCUCGAGGUAAUGAUUAAUAGGAACAGACGGGGGCAUUCGUAUUGCGGCGUUAGAGGUGAAAUUCUUGGAUCGUCGCAAGACGCAC